GUUAAUGUGAAGCAGCGCUGCAUGGUUGGAUAUCGGGUGCAAUAAACGACGUGCUACGCAAGUUCCACUUGGGGCUUCGUGACAUUCGCCAGUGAUUGGUCCACGCGCUGCACCUCCUUCAGACCUAAUUGGGCCUGAGGCUCUUGGACUGUGACUGAGGAAACCCUGCCCUGACAUCUGGACGUGCCUGGCACAAUCCCAGCUGGCCCGCUCUACCUGCUACCUGCUACCUGCCUGUUGCUUUAUAAAAAGCCAUCAGACCAUAGGGUCUUGAAGUGUUAGUACUUUCUCUGUAGUCAUUAUGGAUAUUCAGAGCCUGCUGGCCAUUAAUACUGGUAUUGCUCUUUCCUUAAUGAAAUGGUGAAUAAAGGAAGACUGUGCUUUAAUUUUUAAAUUAAGACAUAAUGAAGACAUUGUUAGAUGUCAUGCAAACUGCAAUUGUGACUUCUUUCCCCAAAGAUUUCCUACGGCUGAGCUAUUUUGUCAGUUAUCAGUUAUUCCAUACCAGGGCUAGAUGAGGCUGAAUGGCAACAACACCACACACAACUGCAAUGCAACUAAUUCAUCUCAUUGGCAGUAGUGUAAAGUAUUUAAGUAAAAAUACUUUGAAGUAUUACUUAAGUAGUUUUCUAGGGUACCUUUACUAUCUAUAUUUUUCACUACUUUUACUUCACUUCAUUCCUAAUGAGAAUUAUGUACAUUUUACUCCAUACAUUUUGCCUGACACCCAAAAGUACUACUUACAAUUUGAGUGCUUAGCAGUACAGGAAAAAGGUCAAAUUCACACACUUAAAGAGAACGUCCCUGGUCAUUUCUACUGCCUCACAUCUGGUGGACUCACUAAACAUAAAUGCUUCCUUCGUAAAUUUUGUUUGAGUGUUGGAGUAUGGCCCUGUCUGUCAAAAAAAGUAAUACAAAUGGAAAUUGUGCUGUCUGGUUUGCUAAAUAUAAGGAAUUUUAUGUAUAGCAUUUACUUUUACUUUGUACUUUUACUCAAGUAUGAAAAUGUAGUACUUUUUCCACCACUGUACUUAAGUACAUUUAAAAUCGGAUAUUUUAGACUUUUUUUCAAGUAGUAUUUCACUGGGUUACAUUCACUUUUACUUGAGUCGUUUUAUAUUAAAGUAUCUUUACUUUUA
Salmo salar (Atlantic salmon) is the source of this 1139-nucleotide non-coding RNA. Lineage: Eukaryota; Metazoa; Chordata; Actinopteri; Salmoniformes; Salmonidae. The record is from RefSeq and is a predicted model, not a curated record.